GCCCUCGUAGCUCAACGGAUAGAGCAAAUUCGUCCUAAGAAUGAGAUGGGGGUUCGAUUCCCUCCGAGGGCA
Molecule: transfer RNA, 72 nt
Filed under: Candidatus Yanofskyibacteriota bacterium
Lineage: Bacteria; Candidatus Yanofskyibacteriota
Description: tRNA-Arg
Rfam family: tRNA
About the family: Transfer RNA (tRNA) molecules are approximately 80 nucleotides in length. Their secondary structure includes four short double-helical elements and three loops (D, anti-codon, and T loops).
Source: RNAcentral